UACGGAGGGUGCAAGCGUUAUCCGGAUUCACUGGGUUUAAAGGGUGCGUAGGUGGGCUAGUAAGUCAGUGGUGACAUCUCCGGGCUUAACCCGGAAACUGCCAUUGAUACUAUUAGUCUUGAAUACCAUGGAGGUGAGCGGAAUAUGUCAUGUAGCGGUGAAAUGCUUAGAUAUGACAUAGAACACCAAUUGCGAAGGCAGCUCGCUACGCGGUUAUUGACACUGAGGCACGAAAGCGUGGGGAUCAAACAGG
RNAcentral lists this ribosomal RNA (253 nucleotides) under uncultured bacterium. Its description in RNAcentral is "partial 16S ribosomal RNA". It matches the Rfam family "Bacterial small subunit ribosomal RNA", at positions 524 to 776 of the family's 1533-position model. The record is from RNAcentral.